GCAGUCNAGCGAAUGGAUUGAGAGCUUGCUCUCAAGAAGUUAGCGGCGGACGGGUGAGUAACACGUGGGUAACCUGCCCAUAAGACUGGGAUAACUCCGGGAAACCGGGGCUAAUACCGGAUAACAUUUUGAACUGCAUGGUUCGAAAUUGAAAGGCGGCUUCGGCUGUCACUUAUGGAUGGACCCGCGUCGCAUUAGCUAGUUGGUGAGGUAACGGCUCACCAAGGCAACGAUGCGUAGCCGACCUGAGAGGGUGAUCGGCCACACUGGGACUGAGACACGGCCCCAAACUCAUACGGGAGGCAGCAGUAGGGAAUCUUCCGCAAUGGACGAAAGUCUGACGGAGCAACGCCGCGUGAGUGAUGAAGGCUUUCGGGUCGUAAAACUCUGUUGUUAGGGAAGAACAAGUGCUAGUUGAAUAAGCUGGCACCUUGACGGUACCUAACCAGAAAGCCACGGCUAACUACGUGCCAGCAGCCGCGGUAAUACGUAGGUGGCAAGCGUUAUCCGGAAUUAUUGGGCGUAAAGCGCGCGCAGGUGGUUUCUUAAGUCUGAUGUGAAAGCCCCCGGCUCACCGUGGAGGGUCAUUGGAAACUGGGAGACUUGAGUGCAGAAGAGGAAAGUGGAAUUCCAUGUGUAGCGGUGAAAUGCGUAGAGAUAUGGAGGACACCAGUGGCGAAGGCGACUUUCUGGUCUGUAACUGACACUGAGGCGCGAAAGCGUGGGGGAGCAAACAGGAUUAGAUACCUGGUAGUCCCCGCCGUAA
RNAcentral lists this ribosomal RNA (766 nucleotides) under Bacillus thuringiensis. RNAcentral describes it as "bacterial SSU rRNA". It matches the Rfam family "Bacterial small subunit ribosomal RNA", at positions 57 to 805 of the family's 1533-position model. Lineage: Bacteria; Bacillati; Bacillota; Bacilli; Caryophanales; Bacillaceae. The record is from RNAcentral.